Molecule: ribosomal RNA, 253 nt
Filed under: uncultured bacterium
Lineage: Bacteria
Description: partial 16S ribosomal RNA
Rfam family: Bacterial small subunit ribosomal RNA
Source: RNAcentral
UACGUAGGGGGCGAGCGUUGUCCGGAAUCAUUGGGCGUAAAGGGUGCGCAGGUGGUCCGUUCAGUCUGAUGUGAAAUCCCUGGGCUCAACUCAGGAAUGGCAUUGGAAACUGGCGGGCUAGAGUACCGGAGAGGGAAGCGGAAUUCCUGGUGUAGCGGUGAAAUGCGUAGAUACCAGGAGGAACACCGGUGGCGAAGGCGGCUUCCUGGCCGGAUACUGACACUCAUGCACGAAAGCGUGGGGAGCAAACGGG